RNAcentral lists this long non-coding RNA (975 nucleotides) under Musa acuminata (dwarf banana). RNAcentral's name for it is "long non-coding RNA (MACU_LNC004870)". The record is from RNAcentral. Lineage: Eukaryota; Viridiplantae; Streptophyta; Magnoliopsida; Zingiberales; Musaceae.
UUGUAUCUUCUUCUUCUUGUUGCUGCUUCUGCUUGUAGUAGUACUACUCAAAUCGAUCCAGUCCAAGCUGCUGGUAGUGGUGGUGGAUGUCCUCCGGGUGGUCAUCAAUCUUUUGCCUCUCGGGCUGCGCCCAUCGCCCUUCCUGAGACCUCAUCAUGCCCUUGUUCUCGUCCUGCCUCCAGUUGGGCGGCACCAUGAGAUGCUCGUGUAGGAAGUCGCAGGACUUGUUCACCAGCGCCGGGUCUCGCCCGGUGGUCGGUGCAAACUUCCGACCCUUCCCCUGGAAUCUGCGAGCCCAAACCAGCAGGUGUUAGACCAAGACACGACUCUUGCAUUCAGGAGAAUAGCAGGGCGGGGGACCUCUAGCGAUGAGGGAUCGUACCCGUCCAAGAGAUGGAGAUGGGCUUCCAAAUUAUGGUAGUUGGAGGGGUCGAGGGAGUCCUUGAGGAAGGGCGAGUGCUUGUGGUCCAGAAGCAGCUCCACCCCGACGUGAACGUACCCGUCCAUCGCCCUCAGCAUGAACUCCGGCAUGUGCUCGUUGAUCAGCACGCCCGGCACCGUGGGCACCUUGUCGUGGACGUUCACCACCCGCAGCACCUUCAGCCCCAGCUUGUCGCACCGCUCCUUGAAGUGCUCGUUGCCCACCCUCGGCCCCCCGUAUGAGAACACCGCCAUCGGCACCUGCUUCCCGUCGGCCCCCUUGAUGAGCUCCAUCUCCGCGAUGUCGUACGCGUUCAGCGUCGCCAGCGCGCUGCCGAGGCUGUGCCCCGCCACCGUUAUGCUCACCUCCUCCCCGGCCUCGGUGUACUGGGCCACCAGCUUCCUCACCUCGGUCAGCACUUGCUCCCUAGCGGAGUACUUGCAGAACCGGCACGUCGAGUCCUUCUCGAUGUACAAGUCAACGAAGCCGGUCUCCACCUUGACCCGGGUGUCCGGGCAGGGGAUCCCCGCAGAUCUCACCGGCUGCAUCUUGGC